CGGGGUGUAGCGCAGCCCGGUAGCGCGCCUGCUUUGGGAGCAGGAUGUCGGAGGUUCGAAUCCUUCCACCCCGA
Molecule: transfer RNA, 74 nt
Filed under: Candidatus Lindowiibacteriota bacterium
Lineage: Bacteria; Candidatus Lindowiibacteriota
Description: tRNA-Pro
Rfam family: tRNA
About the family: Transfer RNA (tRNA) molecules are approximately 80 nucleotides in length.
Source: RNAcentral